GUAUUUAGGUGUGUUUUGCUCA
Molecule: non-coding RNA, 22 nt
Filed under: Arabidopsis thaliana (thale cress)
Lineage: Eukaryota; Viridiplantae; Streptophyta; Magnoliopsida; Brassicales; Brassicaceae
Source: RNAcentral